RNAcentral lists this non-coding RNA (28 nucleotides) under Mus musculus (house mouse). The record is from RNAcentral. Lineage: Eukaryota; Metazoa; Chordata; Mammalia; Rodentia; Muridae.
UAACAGAAUAGACUCACGUUCUCCUUGC